AUGCUCUCCCUGGCCAGGGCUGUGUGGCAACACUUCCAGCACCUAACGAGGCGCUUUAUUUGCAGCAGCCGGGGCAGGAUUCAGCCCCUUGGAUGCCCCGGAGCUCCAGCCCGGAUCCUGCUGCUGCAGCUCCAUCCCUGCCCGGGGACUCGGCUCCCAGACCUCGGCGUAAUUGACUGGCUGCUCAGAGGCGAGGGAAGUCAGGAUCCCCGUGCUGGGGAAGGGAGCAGUGAUUUUCCUGUCUACAAAUCCACUUUGCACUGGUGGUGUUGGUUGGGGUUAAAGCCUGACAAAGUUCAGGCUCAUAAAAAGAGGCUGACAAAGCAAAGCAGAAAGAGAGACGCUUCCAAGACUUUUCAAGUGAGAAACAAAACAGCACUGUACAAAAAUGACUGGCCCUCCAUUUGCCUGGAAUCCCCAAGGCUGCUCUCCACUGGCAGGCUGCAUGGCAAUGCCUGAUUAGCUUGCACUCCGUGUCCUCACUGUGCUGCAGGAGAGAAGGACAGGGCUGGCAGGGUUUGCAGCAGCUCCAAAAGUCCCAGCACUGCUGCAGUGAAGACCUGCCCACAUUUCGUAGCAUUUCUUCCCAGAGAGAACAAGAUCUGCCUGAUGGAUGAAUGCAGAGACCCAGAAAAAGGGAAUUCAUAACCUGGAUGGCAAGUUUUGGAUGGAAUGAGCUGAAUUUGAGGUAGGUUGAUUCAUUGCAGGGGUGAUCUGCACAGCUUUCCAGUGGAAGCUCCACUGAGUUCACAGAACUGCUGCCAAUAUGUUCAAGCAAAGAAAGAGGUUGGAAUGGUGAGAGGAGCCCACCCAAAGUUGAUUUGCAGAUUGUCCCAGGUCAGGCUAAUCCUGUGCCUCAGCACUGAAGUGCUACAGAAAGCCUGAGACAGGCAGGUAUCAGCGAGGGGAUAAAAACAGAGCUUGUUUUGUUCUAAGGAAGGGGGCUGGCCUAACUUUUGUACAGCAAAUUCCUUCCUGAGCUGAUAAAGGCAGCAGCAGAUUGAAUAUCGAGCCCUCUCAGGGAACACUGUGCUGAAACCUGGGAGAUUCUGCCCAAAAUCCCCCUGCAGAACUGCAGCUUCCCAAAGUGCACCCACUAGCCCUGCUUGCCAACCCUCACAGACAGAAUUUGCUGACACAUAAAGCCUUCACUUUUUGUAUUUCAUCUCUGUUUCUCAUCUUCUCCUGCAAAUGCUAAAGAAAUGACACGAUCUGAGGCUGCAAAACCACGCUGCUGCCACUGCAUUUCAAUUCCCAGGCACGG
Molecule: long non-coding RNA, 1264 nt
Filed under: Corvus moneduloides (New Caledonian crow)
Lineage: Eukaryota; Metazoa; Chordata; Aves; Passeriformes; Corvidae
Description: lncRNA (ENSCMUG00000019138.1)
Source: RNAcentral